This is a non-coding RNA of Drosophila melanogaster (fruit fly), 1858 nucleotides long. The record is from Ensembl. Lineage: Eukaryota; Metazoa; Arthropoda; Insecta; Diptera; Drosophilidae.
UGCUGGAGUGGAUUUCAAUUUCGAGAUGGGAGCUGCUGCACCACCGACCAAAAAGAACAAGCAAAGCCAGUCAAAAAGCGAUGAGUAAAAGAGAGAACACGAAGUAGAUGGAGAGGUGGGAAAACAUACUGGAACUCUCUGCUUUCACUGCAUUUCUAUACCUGUGGACCCCUUGUGUACCUGCCAACUUCCAACAAUCGCCGGCGUACGCAAAUCGAAUAUACCUGCAUUCCAGGUAUAGCAAAAUAAUAUUCAUCGGGAUUUUUCAUGCCCUUUUUCGUGGAGAGAACAGAGAUCCCUGGAAAUGGAAACGAAACGCGACUACCUGUUACACAGCUCUUCUUCUUUGAAGCGCUCUCCCUCUCUCCGCCACUCUUCGUUUUUUUUUGGACCCUUCAUCAGGUUCGACAUUUUUCUUCUACCUGUUCUCCUUCCGUCAAUUCGGAGCUGUAGCGUAGCUAUUGCUCUCUAGUCCCUCGAAACUAUCUCAAUUGUAAAUUAAACGUUUCAAUCCGGACACACGCUGGCUUAUCUGGGCUAUAUAGACAUAUAAAGCAAUACAUAACAGCUAGCCUAUGUAACAUAUGUACUACCUUAUACUGCUAUAGCUCUCAAGUGCGUGUACUCGAUUGUACAAAAUAAUUAAAGCGGGCUAGAUGUGGCAAUACGCGGCUAGUUCCAGUAGCCCGAUAAGAGCUAGAGCAGUUGUCAUGGAACCGAAGUGCUUGCCGUUGGUGUUAUAACACCAGAUCGUAGAUCUCGGGCCUGAUAUGAUCGGACAUUGGGGAUGUCUGAAGGUCCCACUCGGCAGACAUCACUUUUCGAGGCUAAUUGGGGCUACCAUUACAUAUUAGAUUACUGUAUUUGGAGAUCGUAUGAAGUCAUAAAUUUUCAAGAAAUGUAGAUAUUUAGAAGACAAAUCACCCCACCUCCCAAGUUGAUCGAUUAUGUGAGACACUCAAAGUACAGCCCCAGGUGGAAUGUAAAUAAAUUAUUUUCGCAAAAACUCGUAAAAAUUGCAGCAAUGAAACCUCUCAAUCAGCAAUGACUAGCUUCUGAAUGAAAAGCAACCUGAGAAGCGGGUGAAUGGCUAUAAAAAUCAGUUAUAAAACCAUUAAGCCCAUAUGUCUAUAUACCGAUGUAUACUGUAUAUAUCCCUAAAUGAGAAGAUACUGUCUGGGUUAUAAAUACCCACAGAAAACCGCUGAGAACCACGUCGAGUCCAAUAAAUCGGAUAGAUUGCCAUUUCCCCGUCAUAUACAUAUAUUAAAUUUCACAAGCGUGGACAGUGUGAAACGAAAUUAAAUCUUGGAACACGCUAUGUUCGUUUCUCACAACAGUCAUAUUUCAGCCACACUGGAAACAAUAUUGCAAGGAGUCUACAUUUCUUAAGUGACUACAUCCACUGAUUGUUUUCUGUGCAUUCGUCUUAGUCAUCGACUUCAUGUGAAAUCGAACAUCAACAUAUCUGAAAAUUCCCCGAAAAUCGUCUGCGUCACCUAAAAAACGAUCUGGCGAAAAGCAGAUACAUUUAUACAUCUCUCGAUUUAUUGCUCGUCUUACUCGUGAUUGAACUAUCUGGCUUUGUCAAGUAUCCUGUGGCUCUUUUAUACAUCGUAGGUGUGAUAACGAAAACUCGGGGAUCUCUUAUGUUCAACGAUCAAAUCUUUUAAAUCACGUGCGUUAAGCCCGAUGUGUUCGGAAUUAUAAUUAUCGUAGGCAACAACUUUUCACUGUCAACAGACAGACAGCAUUUACAUACACAAAUAUCGUAUUGCAAUCGUGUUAAUUAAAGAAACUGAGAAACUUCUGUAGAUUUCAAAACACUUGUCAGACAGUAAUUAAGAUUUGAAUUUGG